UUGCUCUUCAACGAGGAAUACCUAGUAAGCGUAAGUCACCAACUUGCGUUGAUUACGUCCCUGCCCUUUGUACACACCGCCCGUCGCUACUACCGAUUGAAUGGCUUGGUGAGAUCUCCGGAUUGGCGUUGGGGAGCCGGCAACGGCACCCCUUGGCCGAGAAGCUGAUCAAACCUGGUCAUUUAGAGGAAGUAAAAGUCGUAACAAGGUUUCCGUAGGUGAACCUGCGGAAGGAUCAUUAAAGAUUGGCCGAGAGGCCUCAUCUCUAUAUCCCUCAACCUCUGUGAACCGUGGACCCUCGGGUCUAUCUUACAAACAUCAGUGUAAUGAACGUAAUUAUCAUAACAAAAACAAAACUUUCAACAACGGAUCUCUUGGCUCUCGCAUCGAUGAAGAACGCAGCGAAAUGCGAUAAGUAAUGUGAAUUGCAGAAUUCAGUGAAUCAUCGAAUCUUUGAACGCACCUUGCGCCUCUUGGUAUUCCGAGAGGCAUGCCUGUUUGAGUGUCAUGAAAUCUCAAUCCCCUCGGGUUUUAGGACCCGGGUCGGACUUGGACAUGGGCGUCUGCCGGUUAAACGGCUCGCCUCAAAUGACUUAGUGGAUCUCUCAGCAUCCGUGACAGACGUAAUAAGUUUCGUCUUGUCCCUUGCAGAUGAGUCCGCUCACAACCUGCCAUCGCGCACUUUUAGACUCUGACCUCAAAUCAGGUAGGACUACCCGCUGAACUUAAGCAUAUCAAUAAGCGGAGGA
This 749-nucleotide ribosomal RNA is filed under the name uncultured fungus. Its description in RNAcentral is "eukaryotic LSU rRNA". The stretch from base 1 to 241 matches the Rfam family "Eukaryotic small subunit ribosomal RNA", at positions 1593 to 1831 of the family's 1831-position model. The record is from RNAcentral. Lineage: Eukaryota; Fungi.